UGCCAGACUCCUACGGGAGGCAGCAGUGAGGAAUAUUGGUCAAUGGGCGCGAGCCUGAACCAGCCAAGUCGCGUGAGGGAAGACGGUCCUAUGGAUUGUAAACCUCUUUUGUCGGGGAGCAAAAGACGCCACGCGUGGCGUUCCGAGAGUACCCGAAGAAAAAGCAUCGGCUAACUCCGUGCCAGCAGCCGCGGUAAUACGUAGGGGGCAAGCGUUAUCCGGAUUUACUGGGUGUAAAGGGAGCGUAGACGGCGACGCAAGUCUGAAGUGAAAUGCCAGUGCUCAACACUGGAACUGCUUUGGAAACUGUGUAGCUAGAGUGCAGGAGAGGUAAGUGGAAUUCCUAGUGUAGCGGUGAAAUGCGUAGAUAUUAGGAGGAGCACCAGUGGCGAAGGCGGCUUACUGGACUGUAACUGACGUUGAGGCUCGAAGGCGUGGGGAGCAAACAGGAUUAGAUACCCGAGUA
RNAcentral lists this ribosomal RNA (466 nucleotides) under uncultured bacterium. RNAcentral describes it as "bacterial SSU rRNA". It matches the Rfam family "Bacterial small subunit ribosomal RNA", at positions 329 to 792 of the family's 1533-position model. The record is from RNAcentral.